Molecule: ribosomal RNA, 459 nt
Filed under: uncultured bacterium
Lineage: Bacteria
Description: partial 16S ribosomal RNA
Rfam family: Bacterial small subunit ribosomal RNA
Source: RNAcentral
CCUACGGGAGGCAGCAGUGAGGAAUAUUGGUCAAUGGCCGAGAGGCUGAACCAGCCAAGCCGCGUGAGGGAAGAAUGCCCAGUGGAUCGUAAACCUCUUUUGCCAGGGAGCAAAGUGCCGCACGCGUCCGUUCCUGAGAGUACCCGAAGAAAAAGCAUCGGCUAACUCCGUGCCAGCAGCCGCGGUAAUACGGAGGAUGCGAGCGUUAUCCGGAUUCAUUGGGUUUAAAGGGUGCGCAGGCGGGUUUUUAAGCCGGCGGUAAAAUCGUGGGGCUCAACCCCAGCGAGCCGUUGAAACUGAUGGUCUUGAGUGCGGGAGAGGUAUGCGGAAUGCGUGGUGUAGCGGUGAAAUGCAUAGAUAUCGCGCAGAACUCCGAUUGCGAAGGCAGCGUGCCGGGGCGCGACUGACGCUGAGGCACGAAAGCGCGGGGAUCGAACAGGAUUAGAUACCCGAGUAGUC